UGACAGUUCAUGAAUUGCUUCCCGUGGCACUAUCCUUGCUGAUUCAGAGUUUGCUGAGAGUUAUGGUGAAAGUGCUUCAACAUCAGGACAAUAUAGUACAACUCUUUCAAGAUUGAAGCAAAAACUGAGUGGUUUUUGGUUGCAUGUGGUUCAGCGAUGGCCUGUGGUAUAUUUAUCCUCAAUAAUUUUUGUAAAACUGUUACAGUUAUAUACUAUUCUACUAUUUGUUCUCCCUUCAAAAUUGUUUUGAUAAUCAGGUUGUUAAUCCCAAGCUCCUUACUUGUUUUGAUAA
Non-coding RNA from Arachis ipaensis, 292 nucleotides. NCBI's taxonomy places the organism in Eukaryota, Viridiplantae, Streptophyta, Magnoliopsida, Fabales, Fabaceae. The record is from RefSeq and is a predicted model, not a curated record.